Molecule: ribosomal RNA, 484 nt
Filed under: uncultured bacterium
Lineage: Bacteria
Description: partial 16S ribosomal RNA
Rfam family: Bacterial small subunit ribosomal RNA
Source: RNAcentral
AUUGAACGCUGGCGGAAUGCUUUACACAUGCAAGUCGAGCGGCAGCACGGGGGUAACCCUGGUGGCGAGCGGCGAACGGGUGAGUAAUACAUCGGAACAUGCCCAGUCGUGGGGGAUAACACUUCGAAAGAAGUGCUAAUACCGCAUACGUCCUGAGGGAGAAAGCGGGGGAUCGCAAGACCUCGCGCGAUUGGAGUGGCCGAUGUCAGAUUAGCUAGUUGGUGGGGUAAAGGCCUACCAAGGCAACGAUCUGUAGCUGGUCUGAGAGGAUGAUCAGCCACACUGGGACUGAGACACGGCCCAGACUCCUACGGGAGGCAGCAGUGGGGAAUUUUGGACAAUGGGGGCAACCCUGAUCCAGCCAUUCCGCGUGAGUGAAGAAGGCCUUCGGGUUGUAAAGCUCUUUCGGCAGGUACGACACGGUGAGCUCUAACAUAGCUUGCUAAUGACGGUACCUGAAGAAGAAGCACCGGCUAACUACGUG